This 339-nucleotide ribosomal RNA is filed under the name Amblyomma cajennense (Cayenne tick). Its description in RNAcentral is "partial 12S small subunit ribosomal RNA". The record is from RNAcentral. Lineage: Eukaryota; Metazoa; Arthropoda; Arachnida; Ixodida; Ixodidae.
AUUAUUAGAAAUAAUACAUUGUUAGUAAAUAAUAUUUAUGAAAACAAAAAAUCAUGGCGGUAUCUUAAGCUUUUCAGAGGAAUUUGCUCUUUAAUGGAUAAAACACCCAAAUCUUACUAAAAUUGGUUAAGACAGUUUGUAUACCACUAUUUAAGUAAUUAUUAAUUAUAAUUGCUGUAAAUUUUAAACAAAAAAAAAGUUAAGUCAAGGUGCAGCAUAAAUUUUAGGAUGAAGUGAAUUACAAUGCUUUUUAGAAAAGCGAUUUAAAAAAAAAAAUUAGGAUUUGAAAGUAAAAAUUUUAAUAGAAUGAUUAUUUGAAUUAAGCUCUGAGAUAUGUAC